AUAUUGUAAGUAUAUAUAAAAAAGUAGGAAAAUAAAGAGGUUGAGUGAGGAGAGGAGGAAUAAUAGUUUGGAACGGUCCACUGUCUUAGGUUUUUCGGUGAGCCCAAGGUCUAAGGCUUUCUGGUGGUCCUCUGGCAUCCCAGUCCAACACUGUCUUCCCUACAGUUGCCCAAAGCACAGGGAGCAUGUGCUGGGCCACUGACACUUCUAACAAAAUCCAAGAUCCCAACUUUUAUCAUGAUCAGGAUCAAAAGGAAAAAAAACAAAAACAAUCUUUUAGGGUUGCGGAAACUUCCUUACUACAUUUUCCCAUCCUCCACAAGUAAUUUUAAUGUAAUAUAGCUCUAUAUACAAUAUAGCUAACGACCACAAUCUUCUAAUGAACCACGAGAGAUGUUUAUCCGGCUAUCUAGUUGUUUUACAUUUCCUAGCAACCUGUGUGCGUGCCCUCCAAUUCGUCCAAUUGCAUCCAAUCGGAGCGUUCGGUGACGUCAAGUGGGGCGAUUGGUCUGUUUGACGGCGUUCUCUAUUUAACCUGGUAACGAAGGUACAGUGCAAUGGUGAGACAGUUUCCUGUAAGUGGCCCAGUUGCUAUGGCAGACAUGCUGGAUCCCUACACCUUUGAUGCCCCUUCUACAUACAUUAACUUUAGUUCUUUCCAUGAGGAUCACAAUGCUGACUCCUGGUUAGACAGAGUGACCAAUGCACUUAAUACUCCCCCAAACCAGAGGCCACGCUUUGAAACUUCUGCUGUGAAUUCUGGUAAGUGG
Xenopus laevis (African clawed frog) is the source of this 770-nucleotide long non-coding RNA. RefSeq lists it as uncharacterized. The transcript has 3 exons. NCBI's taxonomy places the organism in Eukaryota, Metazoa, Chordata, Amphibia, Anura, Pipidae. The record is from RefSeq and is a predicted model, not a curated record.